UACGUAGGGGGCAAGCGUUGUCCGGAAUCAUUGGGCGUAAAGCGCGCGUAGGCGGCCCGGUAAGUCCGCUCUGAAAGUCCAGGGCUUAACCCUGGAAAGCGGGUGGAUACUGCCGGGCUUGAAUCCGGAAGAGGCGAGUGGAAUUCCUGGUGUAGCGGUGGAAUGCGCAGAUAUCGGGAGGAACACCAAUAGCGAAGGCAGCUCGCUGGGACGGUAUUGACGCUAAGGCGCGAAAGCGUGGGGAGCAAACAGG
RNAcentral lists this ribosomal RNA (253 nucleotides) under uncultured bacterium. Its description in RNAcentral is "partial 16S ribosomal RNA". It matches the Rfam family "Bacterial small subunit ribosomal RNA", at positions 524 to 776 of the family's 1533-position model. The record is from RNAcentral.